This 623-nucleotide small RNA is filed under the name Pan troglodytes (chimpanzee). RNAcentral describes it as "processed transcript". Lineage: Eukaryota; Metazoa; Chordata; Mammalia; Primates; Hominidae. The record is from RNAcentral.
AUUUCAGAAAAUUGGGGCCAUUACUUUUUCAAGACUCUUGGGGACCAGUCCUUGAAUAACAUCACUGCAGAACUCACUGGCUCAUGGCUUCUGGGGUCAGGAAUCCAAGUGUGGCUGAGCUGGCUCUCUGCUCAGAGACCUCACCAGCCACGGUCCUCUUGGCUCUGCUGGGGAAGGUCCCACGUCCAGGCCACCAGCCCCUCGGGUUCCAAGAUGCAGCUACUGGAGACAGAGUUCUCACACACCGUGGGCGAGCUCAUCGAGGUGCACCUGCGGCGCCAGGACAGCAUCCCUGCCUUCCUCAGCUCGCUCACCCUCGAGCUCUUCAGCCGCCAGACCGUGGCGUAGCCUGCAGCCUCGGGGGCAUAGCCGGAGCCACUCUGCUUGGCCUGACCUGCAGGUCCCCUGCCCCGCCAGCCACAGGCUGGGUGCACGUCCUGUCUCUCCAGCCCCACAGGGCAGUGGCACGACUGACAGACACGCUGGGACCUACGUCAGGCUUCCUGCUGGGGUGGCCAGCACCCUCCCCACGUGCAGACCCCAUGCGUCCCGGAGCCUGGUGUGUGGGCGUCGGCCACCAGCCCGGGUUCCUCACCUUGUGAAAUAAAAUCUUCUCCCCUAGA